This 65-nucleotide transfer RNA is filed under the name Pedionis papillata. RNAcentral describes it as "tRNA-Arg". The record is from RNAcentral. Lineage: Eukaryota; Metazoa; Arthropoda; Insecta; Hemiptera; Cicadellidae.
AGUAAAGAAGUAAAAAUUACAUUUAGUUUCGGCCUAAAUUUAAGAAUAAAACUAUUCUCAUACUA